GGCAGAAAGAGAGGGAGAGAGAAUCCCAUGCAGGCCCGAGCUGUCAGUGCAGAGCCUUACUCCAGGCCCGACUCAAGGCCCGACCCGGGGCCAGCGCAGGCCUUGAACCCACAAACCUUGAGAUCAUGACCUGAGCCGACACCAAGAGUUGGAUGCUUAACCAACAGAGCCACCCAGGCGCCCCAUCGGGGUCGUAUGGCCAUGGACCUAUUCUCUCUUUUGUCUUACUCGUUUAUGCCUGUGACGUCAAUGACCAGCUAGACAAUGAUGAAUUCCAAACGUCUUCUGGUUCACAUCUCUCAUCCACAUAUCUCCAAAUGGCUGCUCAGCAUCACCAUUCAGAUGCUUCACGGCCACCUCAUCCAGCAAGUCUGGUCCACUUCUAGCCAAGGACACCACGUCCGUCACAUUAUGCAAGUCAAAAGUCUAGAAGUUCUUUAUUGACACCCACCCUCCUACCCAGAAAUCCAAUCAUUCCCAAUGCCUGCCUCUCCUACCUCCUAUUUAACUCUUGCAUCGGUCCCUUUUUUUCCAGCUGCCCUUCACCCACUUUCCUAGUCUGAUGCCAGCUACUCACGGCCCAGCUGGCUUCCUGACUGGGCUCCGUGUCUACCUCUGCUUUUGCACCUCCUUCAUUGUGUUCCCAGGUUGCUACCUGAACAUUUCUCCCGGGUGAACGUCUGAUUGCGUCGCUCUUUCUUCUAAACCUUCGAUAGGUCCCGGUUGCACUGGGGAUAAAGACAGCGUUCUCGAAAGGGGCUCCCAAGGCUCCAUCACACCAGGUCCUACCUGCACCUGUCCUGGAAGCUUCUGUUCAGACCACACCUGUCUUCUUUGCACAUCGAAUCACAGGGCCGUGUUUUCUGCCCGUUCUUUGCACAUGCCGCCCCUGUGGCCUUCCUGAUCCUGCCCAUCCCUCGUGUCUGAGCUCAGGCACACCCCUUUCUCACUCACACCCUCUGUGAUCUCCAGCCCGGGCCAGGUGUCUUGUCACGUGUCUCAGAGAGCCGCUCGUCUGUGCUAACACUCGGCGCGGCCUCUGGAUAUACAUCGAUCUGUCAUUACUUGAGUCUCCCUUGCUAGCCCGGGCCUUCAUGAGACUAGGAACUAUAUCUGUUCUUAACCAGUGUAUGCUCAGCCGCUUGCAAGGUGCCGGGCACGACGUGCCUGCUCUAUACAUGCCCGUUGAAUGAAUAAAGCCACCAAGUUGCCUCCAGAAAGGGCCUUUGAUGUCUGUGCCAACCCAUCAGAAUAAUGGCAGCUCUGGAAAAAAAGUACAUAUUUGAUGUCACAGAGAAGAAUCCUAACAGAAAAGAAUGCUCUGAACCUUCUAAGGCACAUAUACGAGGGAAACGGAGUCUAGCUUCUCAGCUUAAUGACGAGUUUGAUGCUUCUUUUCCCGUAGGAUUGGGACGAAUGUAACAUGACCAGAUGUCACCACGUUCUACCGUGGCGAAAGUCAGACCUGUCCCUGGGUGGAGCCCAGCGUGGAUUUCUGGCCACCUGUACACCUGGAAUUUCCUGAUCUGAUGUCACUAAAUAUUUUCAGUAAAGGCAAUUAUUAUGUGACAAAAUAAAAAAAAAACCCUCAUUUUCA
Felis catus (domestic cat) is the source of this 1597-nucleotide long non-coding RNA. RefSeq lists it as uncharacterized. NCBI's taxonomy places the organism in Eukaryota, Metazoa, Chordata, Mammalia, Carnivora, Felidae. The record is from RefSeq and is a predicted model, not a curated record. The transcript has 2 exons.